UGGGGAAUUUUGGACAAUGGGGGAAACCCUGAUCCAGCCAUCCCGCGUGUGCGAUGAAGGCCUUCGGGUUGUAAAGCACUUUUGGCAGGAAAGAAACGUCGCGGGUUAAUACCCCCGCGAAACUGACGGUACCUGCCAGAAUAAGCACCGGGCUAACUACGUGCCAGCAGCCGCGGUAAUACGUAGGGUGCAAGCGUUAAUCGGAAUUACUGGGCGUAAAGCGUGCGCAGGCGGUUCGGAAAGAAAGAUGUGAAAUCCCAGAGCUUAACUUUGGAACUGCAUUUUUAACUACCGGGCUAGAGUGUGUCAGAGGGAGGUGGAAUUCCGCGUGUAGCAGUGAAAUGCGUAGAUAUGCGGAGGAACACCGAUGGCGAAGGCAGCCUCCUGGGAUAACACUGACGCUCAUGCACGAAAGCGUGGGGGAGCAAACAGGAUUAGAUACCCUGGUAGUCCACGCCCUAAACGAUGUCAACUAGCUGUUGGGGCCUUCGGGCCUUGGUAGCGCAGCUAACGCGUGAAGUUGACCGCC
Molecule: ribosomal RNA, 529 nt
Filed under: uncultured bacterium
Lineage: Bacteria
Description: partial 16S ribosomal RNA
Rfam family: Bacterial small subunit ribosomal RNA
Source: RNAcentral